GCCCCCAUCGUCUAGAGGCCUAGGACGCCGGCCUUUCAAGGCGGCAACACGGGUUCGAAUCCCGUUGGGGGUGCCA
RNAcentral lists this transfer RNA (76 nucleotides) under Akkermansiaceae bacterium. Its description in RNAcentral is "tRNA-Glu". It matches the Rfam family "tRNA". Rfam says of the family: Transfer RNA (tRNA) molecules are approximately 80 nucleotides in length. Their secondary structure includes four short double-helical elements and three loops (D, anti-codon, and T loops). Lineage: Bacteria; Pseudomonadati; Verrucomicrobiota; Verrucomicrobiia; Verrucomicrobiales; Akkermansiaceae. The record is from RNAcentral.